GACGAACGCUGGCGGCGUGCUUAACACGUGCAAGUCGAACGGAAAGACCCUGCUUUUGUGGUGUGCUCGAGUGGCGAACGGGUGAGUAACACGUGAGUAACCUGCCCUUGACUUUGGGAUAACUUCAGGAAACUGGGGCUAAUACCGGAUAGGAGCUCCUGCUGCAUUGUGGGGGUUGGAAAGUUUCGGCUGUUGGGGAUGGACGCGCGGCUUAUCAGCUUGUUGGUGGGGUAGUGGCUUACCAACGCUUUGACGGGUAGCCGGCCUGAGAGGGUGACCGGCCACAUUGGGACUGAGAUACGGACCAGACUCCUACGGGAGGCAGCAGUGGCGAAUAUUGCACAAUGGGCGGAAGCCUGAUGCAGCGGCGCCGCGUGCGGGAUGCCGGCCUUCGGGUUGUAAACAGCUGUCGCCUAUGACGAAGCGUGAGUGACGGUAAUGAGUAAAGAAGCACCGGCUAACUACGUG
RNAcentral lists this ribosomal RNA (468 nucleotides) under uncultured bacterium. RNAcentral describes it as "partial 16S ribosomal RNA". It matches the Rfam family "Bacterial small subunit ribosomal RNA", at positions 28 to 507 of the family's 1533-position model. The record is from RNAcentral.